CCUACGGGAGGCAGCAGUAGGGAAUAUUGGGCAAUGGGCGCAAGCCUGACCCAGCGACGCCGCGUGAGGGAUGAAGGUCUUCGGAUUGUAAACCUCUUUCAGUAGGGAAGAAGCGAAAGUGACGGUACCUAAAGAAUAAGCACCGGCUAACUACGUGCCAGCAGCCGCGGUAAUACAUAGGGUGCAAGCGUUGUCCGGAAUUAUUGGGCGUAAAGAGCUCGUAGGUCGUUUGCCGCGUCGAUUGUGAAAAUCUGAGGCUCAACCUCAGACCUGCAGUCGAUACGGGCAAACUAGAGUGUGGUAGGGGAGACUGGAAUUCCUGGUGUAGCGGUGGAAUGCGCAGAUAUCAGGAGGAACACCAAUGGCGAAGGCAGGUCUCUGGGCCAUAACUGACACUGAGGAGCGAAAGUGCGGGGAGCGAACAGGAUUAGAUACCCUGGUAGUCCGCACCGUAAACGGUGGGCACUAGUUGUGGGAACCUUCCACGGUUUCCGCGACGCAGCAAACGCAUUAAGUGCCCCGCCUGGGGAGUACGAUCGCAAGAUUAAAACUCAAAGGAAUUGACGG
RNAcentral lists this ribosomal RNA (567 nucleotides) under uncultured Actinomycetes bacterium. Its description in RNAcentral is "bacterial SSU rRNA". It matches the Rfam family "Bacterial small subunit ribosomal RNA", at positions 338 to 916 of the family's 1533-position model. Lineage: Bacteria; Bacillati; Actinomycetota; Actinomycetes. The record is from RNAcentral.